UAGGGAAUCUUCGGCAAUGGGGGGAACCCUGACCGAGCAACGCCGCGUGAGUGAAGAAGGUUUUCGGAUCGUAAAGCUCUGUUGUUAAGGAAGAACGAGUGUGAGAAUGGAAAGUUCAUACUGUGACGGUACUUAACCAGAAAGGGACGGCUAACUACGUGCCAGCAGCCGCGGUAAUACGUAGGUCCCGAGCGUUGUCCGGAUUUAUUGGGCGUAAGCGAGCGCAGGCGGUUAGAUAAGUCUGAAGUUAAAGGCAGUGGCUCAACCAUUGUAGGCUUUGGAAACUGUUUAACUUGAGUGCAGAAGGGGAGAGUGGAAUUCCAUGUGUAGCGGUGAAAUGCGUAGAUAUAUGGAGGAACACCGGUGGCGAAAGCGGCUCUCUGGUCUGUAACUGACGCUGAGGCUCGAAAGCGUGGGUAGCAAACAGG
This 428-nucleotide ribosomal RNA is filed under the name Bacteroidota bacterium. Its description in RNAcentral is "Bacteroidetes bacterium partial 16S ribosomal RNA". It matches the Rfam family "Bacterial small subunit ribosomal RNA", at positions 355 to 776 of the family's 1533-position model. Lineage: Bacteria; Pseudomonadati; Bacteroidota. The record is from RNAcentral.